This is a small nuclear RNA of Pipistrellus kuhlii (Kuhl's pipistrelle), 103 nucleotides long. The record is from RefSeq and is a predicted model, not a curated record. NCBI's taxonomy places the organism in Eukaryota, Metazoa, Chordata, Mammalia, Chiroptera, Vespertilionidae.
GUGCUCGCUUUGGCAGCACAGAUACUAAAAUUGGAACGAUUCAGAGAUUAGCGUGGCCCUGUGCAAGGCUGACAUGCAAAUUCAUGAAGUGUUCCAUAUUUUU